CACCCUUUGCAUGGCAGUGAGCUUUCUGGCACGUGAUGUAUCGGACCUCUGCCUUGGGAAGCCGCCGCUGAGGUCGCUCUCCGCCUCCGCCACCGUCGCCGACGCCUUGGCUGCGCUCAAGAGCUCCGACCACGAGACCCACGUCACCUUGUGGAGCUUCUGCGAGAACAAGAACGAGGUUCGUUGCGUUGGAAACUGUGCAUGGUUGAUGUUAUUUGCUACCUUUGCAGAGAGGACAAUCUCUCGUCUCCAAUACUCUGGACCCACCCUUCCCCUACCUUCUUCUCCUCGGCGAUACGGAGGCGGUGGCGGUGUCGCCGGAAAAUGACGGCCCCACCAUAGAACUGCCGUCGGGCGCCGUCUACGCCGUGUACGACACGAACGGCGACGUUCAGUUCAUCGGUUUGUCGCGGAUCAUUGCCGCGAGUGUUGCGGCGCACUGGAAAUCGGUGCCGGAGCUGUGCGGUUCCGUUAAGGUUUUGCAGCGUCCUCAAAUGCUUGUUGGUGGUGAGGUGGAACGCCAACGAACAAGAGUGGUUCGAUGGCACACUGGAGUGUGGUGAUGGCACAGUCUUAUGUGCUAGAUUGAAAAAGUUUUUGUUAUUGAUAAGGUGUUUGUUGGAAUGACUAAAUCAAUUUUUUAAAUACAUUCUUAUUGAAUA
Molecule: long non-coding RNA, 662 nt
Organism: Glycine soja
Lineage: Eukaryota; Viridiplantae; Streptophyta; Magnoliopsida; Fabales; Fabaceae
Exons: 2
Source: RefSeq, a predicted model, not a curated record